GAUGAACGCUGGCGGCGUGCUUAACACAUGCAAGUCGAACGGUGAAGGCGGAGCUUGCUCUGCUGGAUCAGUGGCGAACGGGUGAGUAACACGUGAGCAAUCUGCCCCUGACUCUGGGAUAAGCGCUGGAAACGGCGUCUAAUACUGGAUACGAGCUGCGAAGGCAUCUUCAGCAGCUGGAAAGAAUUUCGGUCAGGGAUGAGCUCGCGGCCUAUCAGCUUGUUGGUGAGGUAAUGGCUCACCAAGGCGUCGACGGGUAGCCGGCCUGAGAGGGUGACCGGCCACACUGGGACUGAGACACGGCCCAGACUCCUACGGGAGGCAGCAGUGGGGAAUAUUGCACAAUGGGCGAAAGCCUGAUGCAGCAACGCCGCGUGAGGGACGACGGCCUUCGGGUUGUAAACCUCCUUUAGCAGGGAAGAAGCGAAAGUGACGGUACCUGCAGAAAAAGCGCCGGCUAACUACGUG
This 468-nucleotide ribosomal RNA is filed under the name uncultured bacterium. Its description in RNAcentral is "partial 16S ribosomal RNA". It matches the Rfam family "Bacterial small subunit ribosomal RNA", at positions 28 to 507 of the family's 1533-position model. The record is from RNAcentral.